This 459-nucleotide ribosomal RNA is filed under the name uncultured bacterium. RNAcentral's name for it is "partial 16S ribosomal RNA". It matches the Rfam family "Bacterial small subunit ribosomal RNA", at positions 338 to 795 of the family's 1533-position model. The record is from RNAcentral.
CCUACGGGAGGCAGCAGUGAGGAAUAUUGGUCAAUGGACGAGAGUCUGAACCAGCCAAGUAGCGUGAAGGAUGACUGCCCUAUGGGUUGUAAACUUCUUUUAUAUGGGAAUAAAAUGUUCCAUGUGUGGGUUUUUGUAUGUACCAUAUGAAUAAGGAUCGGCUAACUCCGUGCCAGCAGCCGCGGUAAUACGGAGGAUGCGGGGGUAAUCCGGAUCUAUUGGGGUUAACGGGUGCGUAGGCGGAAGGUUAAGUCAGCGGUCAAAUGUCGGGGCUCAACACCGGCUUGCCGUUGAAACUGGUAUUCUUGAGUGUGCGAGAAGGAUGCGGAAGGCGUGGUGUAGCGGUGAAAUGCAUAGAGAUCACGCAGAACUCCGAUGGCGAAGGCAGCAUACCGGCGCUCAACUGACGCUGAGGCACGAAAGCGUGGGGAUCGAACAGGAUUAGAUACCCCAGUAGUC